AACUCGCCUGCACGAAGUUGGAAUUGCUAGUAAUCGUGGAUCAGCAUGCCACGGUGAAUACGUUCCCGGGUCUUGUACACACCGCCCGUCACACCAUGGGAGCCGGUAAUACCCGAAGUCAGUAGUCUAACCGCAAGGAGGACGCUGCCGAAGGUAGGAUUGGCGACUGGGGUGAAGUCGUAACAAGGUAAC
RNAcentral lists this ribosomal RNA (192 nucleotides) under uncultured bacterium. Its description in RNAcentral is "partial 16S ribosomal RNA". It matches the Rfam family "Bacterial small subunit ribosomal RNA", at positions 1309 to 1500 of the family's 1533-position model. The record is from RNAcentral.